RNAcentral lists this ribosomal RNA (498 nucleotides) under uncultured bacterium. RNAcentral's name for it is "partial 16S ribosomal RNA". It matches the Rfam family "Bacterial small subunit ribosomal RNA", at positions 30 to 523 of the family's 1533-position model. The record is from RNAcentral.
AUUGAACGCUGGCGGCAUGCCUUACACAUGCAAGUCGAACGGUAACAGGUCUUCGGAUGCUGACGAGUGGCGAACGGGUGUGUAAUACAUCGGAACGUGCCUAGUAGUGGGGGAUAACUACUCGAAAGAGUGGCUAAUACCGCAUGAGAUCUACGGAUGAAAGCAGGGGAUCGCAAGACCUUGUGCUACUAGAGCGGCCGAUGGCAGAUGAGGUAGUUGGUGGGAUAAAAGCUUACCAAGCCGACGAUCUGUAGCUGGUCUGAGAGGACGAUCAGCCACACUGGAACUGAGACACGGCCCAGACUCCUACGGGAGGCAGCAGUGGGGAAUUUUGGACAAUGGGCGAAAGCCUGAUCCAGCAAUGCCGCGUGCAGGAUGAAGGCCUUCGGGUUGUAAACUGCUUUUGUACGGAACGAAAAGCCCCGGGUUAAUACCCUGGGGUCAUGACGGUACCGUAAGAAUAAGCACCGGCUAACUACGUGCCAGCAGCCGCCGUAA